GUAGAUAUAGUUUAACUAAAACGCUAGAUUGUGAUUCUAGAAAUAAAGGUUAAAGUCCUUUUAUUUACC
Molecule: transfer RNA, 69 nt
Filed under: Trichogaster fasciata (banded gourami)
Lineage: Eukaryota; Metazoa; Chordata; Actinopteri; Anabantiformes; Osphronemidae
Description: tRNA-His
Rfam family: tRNA
About the family: Transfer RNA (tRNA) molecules are approximately 80 nucleotides in length. Their secondary structure includes four short double-helical elements and three loops (D, anti-codon, and T loops). Further hydrogen bonds mediate the characteristic L-shaped molecular structure. tRNAs have two regions of fundamental functional importance: the anti-codon, which is responsible for specific mRNA codon recognition, and the 3' end, to which the tRNAs corresponding amino acid is attached (by aminoacyl-tRNA synthetases). tRNAs cope with the degeneracy of the genetic code in two manners: having more than one tRNA (with a specific anti-codon) for a particular amino acid; and 'wobble' base-pairing, i.e. permitting non-standard base-pairing at the 3rd anti-codon position.
Source: RNAcentral